Molecule: long non-coding RNA, 495 nt
Filed under: Ixodes scapularis (black-legged tick)
Lineage: Eukaryota; Metazoa; Arthropoda; Arachnida; Ixodida; Ixodidae
Description: uncharacterized LOC115330875, transcript variant X2
Source: RNAcentral
CAGCCAAUCAUGGGCGUUCAGGGAGAGAUCCGUUAUCGACCGUUAUUUUUUGUUUGAUCUUCCGGAGCGCGUGCGGGCGAGCGUUGUGCGACGUUCGCGAAACCGAGACCUUUGGCGGUGCGCGUCUGCGCGUUAGAUGUUUCUUUCAACCAGUUCGGCGGGAUGGCUGCUGUGUAUCUAUGGACACUACUGUGCAGCAAAGUGGUGCCGGAACACGACGAAAACCGCUGACAGCAGUUUUUUCCGUUUUACGACGGACGACAGAGUUCCUCGCUCCUGGCUUUCGCCUAACUGGUGCGUCCACCGCCUCCACUUUAGAUCCACCUGCAGCCCCAGUUGAGCCAGGACCAUCACACAGCACAGACCAAGGGCUGGAAGACCACAUGUGUUCCUGAUCAGGCUCUGACUGACUCUUAUGCACAGGAAGACCUCCGCGCUUUCUGAGUCAGAACCGUGCGCUUUGGUUUGGACGGGCAAAACUGCGGGCGAGCGCGC